Molecule: long non-coding RNA, 326 nt
Filed under: Homo sapiens (human)
Lineage: Eukaryota; Metazoa; Chordata; Mammalia; Primates; Hominidae
Description: non-protein coding lnc-NOVA1-10:1
Source: RNAcentral
CUCGAGACAUUAAAGAGGACUUUCACUGUCUUUGAUGAUGUCAUCUUUUACGUAUUAAGUUCUUCUAGCAUGGUAACUAGAACUAAAUUUUUAACUUAACUUCCUUUUAAACCACACACUGUGAAUGCAUCUGUGAAAAAGACUUCUCGUUGCCAGGGAAACCACUGCUUUGUCUGUACGUGUUUGGAAUGGCUGCCUCAUUAGAACUCAGGCUCCUAGACAGUCACUUGUAAUACUGAUAAAAUGAAAGGAAUGAACCUAUUUUAGCUGAUUAACUUAAAAUUAAUAAAAAAUAGCAUAUUUAAAAGAUAGAUGUUUAAAAGCUA